Molecule: long non-coding RNA, 248 nt
Organism: Lolium rigidum
Lineage: Eukaryota; Viridiplantae; Streptophyta; Magnoliopsida; Poales; Poaceae
Exons: 3
Source: RefSeq, a predicted model, not a curated record
GUAAUAUUGUUUCUGGAGCAUGUAACUUUCCAUGUAUUAAGGUUGCAGAGAAAGAGUUAUGUUGAUAUACUGAAUCUAGGGCAUUGGCUUAUCGUGGCACCUUUAACCACAUAUUCUUUUUAUCUUUUCAGUUCUUUUAGGGUAGAAUGUUGAAGUUCAGUAUUCACUUGUGCUCAUUUUCCAUGCCGAUACAACAUGGCUAGCGAGCUUAGGAGCGAUCUGGAGAAACUGAGUACCUCAUGCUAAAA